ACAAGCGGUGGAGCAUGUGGUUAAUUCGACGCAACGCGAAGAACCUUACCAGGGCUUGACAUCCCCUGACCGCGUAUGAAAGUACGUUUUCACCCUCGGGUGACAGGGAGACAGGUGGUGCAUGGUUGUCGUCAGCUCGUGUCGUGAGAUGUUGGGUUAAGUCCCGCAACGAGCGCAACCCCUAUUGUUAGUUGCCAUCAUUCAGUUGGGCACUCUAGCGAGACUGCCGGUAAUAAACCGGAGGAAGGUGGGGAUGACGUCAAAUCAUCAUGCCCCUUAUGACCUGGGCUACACACGUGCUACAAUGGUUGGUACAACGAGUUGCGAGUCGGUGACGGCGAGCUAAUCUCUUAAAGCUAAUCUCAGUUCGGAUUGUAGGCUGCAACUCGCCUACAUGAAGUCGGAAUCGCUAGUAAUCGCGGAUCAGCACGCCGCGGUGAAUACGUUCCCGGGCCUU
RNAcentral lists this ribosomal RNA (457 nucleotides) under uncultured Streptococcus sp. RNAcentral describes it as "bacterial SSU rRNA". It matches the Rfam family "Bacterial small subunit ribosomal RNA", at positions 925 to 1382 of the family's 1533-position model. The record is from RNAcentral. Lineage: Bacteria; Bacillati; Bacillota; Bacilli; Lactobacillales; Streptococcaceae.